CAUGCAGUCGAGCGAACUGAUUAGAAGCUUGCUUCUAUGACGUUAGCGGCGGACGGGUGAGUAACACGUGGGCAACCUGCCUGUAAGACUGGGAUAACUUCGGGAAACCGAAGCUAAUACCGGAUAGGAUCUUCUCCUUCAUGGGAGAUGAUUGAAAGAUGGUUUCGGCUAUCACUUACAGAUGGGCCCGCGGUGCAUUAGCUAGUUGGUGAGGUAACGGCUCACCAAGGCAACGAUGCAUAGCCGACCUGAGAGGGUGAUCGGCCACACUGGGACUGAGACACGGCCCAGACUCCUACGGGAGGCAGCAGUAGGGAAUCUUCCGCAAUGGACGAAAGUCUGACGGAGCAACGCCGCGUGAGUGAUGAAGGCUUUCGGGUCGUAAAACUCUGUUGUUAGGGAAGAACAAGUACAAGAGUAACUGCUUGUACCUUGACGGUACCUAACCAGAAAGCCACGGCUAACUACGUGCCAGCAGCCGCGGUAAUACGUAGGUGGCAAGCGUUAUCCGGAAUUAUUGGGCGUAAAGCGCGCGCAGGCGGUUUCUUAAGUCUGAUGUGAAAGCCCACGGCUCAACCGUGGAGGGUCAUUGGAAACUGGGGAACUUGAGUGCAGAAGAGAAAAGCGGAAUUCCACGUGUAGCGGUGAAAUGCGUAGAGAUGUGGAGGAACACCAGUGGCGAAGGCGGCUUUUUUGGUCUGUAACUGACGCUGAGGCGC
This 719-nucleotide ribosomal RNA is filed under the name Priestia megaterium. Its description in RNAcentral is "bacterial SSU rRNA". It matches the Rfam family "Bacterial small subunit ribosomal RNA", at positions 54 to 754 of the family's 1533-position model. Lineage: Bacteria; Bacillati; Bacillota; Bacilli; Caryophanales; Bacillaceae. The record is from RNAcentral.